CGGAGGGUGCGAGCGUUAAUCGGAAUUACUGGGCGUAAAGCGUACGCAGGCGGUUUGUUAAGCGAGAUGUGAAAGCCCCGGGCUCAACCUGGGAACUGCAUUUCGAACUGGCAAAACUAGAGUGUGAUAGAGGGUGGUAGAAUUUCAGGUGUAGCGGUGAAAUGCGUAGAGAUCUGAAGGAAUACCGAUGGCGAAGGCAGCCACCUGGGGUCAACACUGACGCUCAUGUACGAAAGCGUGGGAGCAAACAGGAUU
This 255-nucleotide ribosomal RNA is filed under the name uncultured bacterium. RNAcentral's name for it is "partial 16S ribosomal RNA". It matches the Rfam family "Bacterial small subunit ribosomal RNA", at positions 526 to 779 of the family's 1533-position model. The record is from RNAcentral.